This 423-nucleotide ribosomal RNA is filed under the name uncultured bacterium. Its description in RNAcentral is "bacterial SSU rRNA". It matches the Rfam family "Bacterial small subunit ribosomal RNA", at positions 355 to 776 of the family's 1533-position model. The record is from RNAcentral.
UAGGGAAUAUUGGGCAAUGCACGCAAGUGUGACCCAGCCAUGCCGCGUGCAGGAAGAAGGCCUUCUGGGUUGUAAACUGCUUUUGGAAGGGAACAAAAAGACACUGCGGUGUAAAUUGAGUGUACCUUCAGAAUAAGCACCGGCUAACUCCGUGCCAGCAGCCGCGGUAAUACGGAGGGUGCAAGCGUUGUCCGGAUUUAUUGGGUUUAAAGGGUGCGUAGGCGGCUUAUUAAGUCAGGGGUGAAAGACUGCAGCUUAACUGUAGCAGUGCCUUUGAUACUGAUGAGCUUGAGUACAGAUGAGGCAGGCGGAAUGGGUGGUGUAGCGGUGAAAUGCAUAGAUACCAUCCAGAACACCGAUUGCGAAGGCAGCCUGCUAAACUGUAACUGACGCUGAGGCACGAAAGCGUGGGGAUCGAACAGG